GUAGGUGAACCUGCGGAAGGAUCAUUAAUGAGUGAGGGUCCUCACCGGCCCGACCUCCAACCCUUUGUCGUUUAAACAAACACCCUUGUUGCUUUGGCGGUGCCGUCCGCCGGCCGGCCCUCUGUGGCCCUAGGCCGGGCGCCCGCCGGGGUGAAACCAAACUCUUGCGAUGCAACUAUAAGUCCGAGUAACCGAUAAAUCAAUCAAAACUUUCAACAACGGAUCUCUUGGUUCUG
This 236-nucleotide unclassified non-coding RNA is filed under the name rhizosphere metagenome. RNAcentral describes it as "partial ribosomal RNA internal transcribed spacer region". The record is from RNAcentral.